Molecule: ribosomal RNA, 207 nt
Filed under: uncultured Bacillota bacterium
Lineage: Bacteria; Bacillati; Bacillota
Description: uncultured Firmicutes bacterium partial 16S ribosomal RNA
Rfam family: Bacterial small subunit ribosomal RNA
Source: RNAcentral
UGCGUAGGUGGUUUUGUAAGCGUGGGGUGAAAGGCAAUAGCUCAACUAUUGUAAGCCCUGCGAACUGUGAGACUUGAGUGCAGGAGAGGAAAGCGGAAUUCCUAGUGUAGCGGUGAAAUGCGUAGAUAUUAGGAGGAACACCAGUGGCGAAGGCGGCUUUCUGGACUGUAACUGACACUGAGGCACGAAAGCGUGGGGGAGCAAACA